This 347-nucleotide ribosomal RNA is filed under the name uncultured bacterium. RNAcentral's name for it is "bacterial SSU rRNA". It matches the Rfam family "Bacterial small subunit ribosomal RNA", at positions 1 to 334 of the family's 1533-position model. The record is from RNAcentral.
GUGAGUAGUUCAGAGUUUGAUCCUGGCUCAGGAUGAACGCUGGCGGCGUGCCUAACACAUGCAAGUCGAACGAAGCGCUUUGAAGUUUUCGGACAGAUGAGUGACUGAGUGGCGGACGGGUGAGUAACGCGUGGGUAACCUGCCUCAUACAGGGGGAUAACAGUUAGAAAUGACUGCUAAUACCGCAUAAGCGCACAGCAUCGCAUGAUGCAGUGUGAAAAGCCGAGACGGUAUGAGAUGGACCCGCGUCUGAUUAGCUAGUUGGUGGGGUAACGGCCCACCAAGGCGACGAUCAGUAGCCGACCUGAGAGGGUGACCGGCCACAUUGGGACUGAGACACGGCCCAA